Long non-coding RNA from Canis lupus familiaris (dog), 1627 nucleotides. RefSeq lists it as uncharacterized. Lineage: Eukaryota; Metazoa; Chordata; Mammalia; Carnivora; Canidae. The record is from RefSeq and is a predicted model, not a curated record. The transcript has 4 exons.
UCUGCCUCUGGACUGUGGUUGACCAUGGAUAGCUGAAACCACAGAAAGCAAAGUUGAGGAUAAGUGGGACUGCUGUAUAACAAAUAUUUACAUCAAAUGUGGGAUUUCUGUAUUUUGAUGGUAAUCAGUUGGGGAAACAAAACGUGAAGACUAGAAAUAUAAAAUAAUAAUUAAUAAAAAUAACAAUUCUGAAACAUAACACAGCAGAUAUUACAAGGUAGAUCUCACUGCAUCAUAUUCAGAAAAAUGUGGACUGUGGAAUGAAAGACACCAGGAUGGGAUUCCUAAAGUUCUUUGUCACGGUCAUUAUCAAAAAUAUUAACCUAUUCUAAUCUGCUGUAUGAUACUUAUAAUAAUUCAACUUUUUUUUUCUUUUUUAUUAAUUUGUGGUCUCUCUUCUUCUACUAAUGGAAAAGCUCCAUGAAAACAAGGGCUCUGUCUAUAUUUUUUCACUGUAGUAUCAUCUCUACAGCCUAGAAUAGUUCAUAGCACAUAGCAGAUAAAUGAACGAGUGAGUAAAUGAGUGAACAAUCAAAUGAGUAAAUUUCCUAAUUCUGAGAUGUGUGGUCUUGGGUUUUCUUUUUAGGCCCUCCAUUUUUUCAUUUGUAAAAUAAUAUAAAUAAUAAUUUUCUUAGAUUGUUAGUGUAAAAUAAGUAAAGCACACUGCACAGUGACAGCAGGCAUGGAGGGGUUCCAUAAGUGACAACUAUUAAAAUAAAUGUGAUACUUUCACCUACACCACAAAAUUAUUACAUAUACCCACCCCGUUGUUGGGUUUGGUCAUAUAUUAUGUCCAACGUCAUGUGAGCAGAUGUAGCAUGGCAUAUGCCCUCCCAAACGGACACCUACAACUCUCUCUCAUCCCUCUGCCAUGAGAAUGUGCUGUUUCAGCUCAGAGCUGCACCUUCAGAAUGAAGACGUGUGCAGCAGACCCAACCCAGCAGUCAACUUAGAGCGGAGACCCAGGCAAGACCUGCCCAUGUGUCCUCCUUCUGCUCAAAAACACCAUCUCCUCCACAUUCAUCAGUGAGGUCCUCUUCAGUCUUAACAGGCCAGUUCAAGGGUUGGUCACUCUGCCUAUCAUCCUCACAGUGACAUCUCUGGGACAAGGUCAUUAUUUAAUCAUCUUUAUUAUCCUUGGUGGUUAGCAUCUAAUACCCGUCUGACAAACACAUGUUGAGACAUGAGCGGACAAAUGACACAAGAGAACAUGAGAGUUUAAAUAGACAGAAGAAAAGCUACACAAUGAGCCUGUGGGAGGUGAAAGGCCCCUCAGCUAAUUUUCCAGUCAGAGAAAUGCACUUAAUUUUAAAGCCAACAAAAGCAUGUAACAAGGAAGACCUACGUGGCUGCCACAAAGAAAUGAAAUGAUGAAUGGGACCAUCAAUAAUUCACAUGUUCCGUGUAGAUGUAACAGAUUGCCUGAUUGUACAAAAUGACUUCUAUCUUGGUGAAGAACCAACACAUUAUUCCUCAUGGGUCUCUUUGACUCCCUACCUUUGUCUUUAAUGUAUAAAGUACGUCUUAUUUCUGAUAAAUGCAGUGCUGUUUGCUGGUCUUAAUAAAGGUCAGAUGGAUGGACAACUGAUAAAAUCUGCUGGAAAAAAAAAUUGACAAAUAAAGUGUU